RNAcentral lists this ribosomal RNA (769 nucleotides) under Escherichia coli. Its description in RNAcentral is "partial 23S ribosomal RNA". It matches the Rfam family "Bacterial large subunit ribosomal RNA", at positions 2180 to 2925 of the family's 2925-position model. Lineage: Bacteria; Pseudomonadati; Pseudomonadota; Gammaproteobacteria; Enterobacterales; Enterobacteriaceae. RNAcentral also lists the same sequence under 1 other name. The record is from RNAcentral.
AUGGAGCCGACCUUGAAAUACCACCCUUUAAUGUUUGAUGUUCUAACGUUGACCCGUAAUCCGGGUUGCGGACAGUGUCUGGUGGGUAGUUUGACUGGGGCGGUCUCCUCCUAAAGAGUAACGGAGGAGCACGAAGGUUGGCUAAUCCUGGUCGGACAUCAGGAGGUUAGUGCAAUGGCAUAAGCCAGCUUGACUGCGAGCGUGACGGCGCGAGCAGGUGCGAAAGCAGGUCAUAGUGAUCCGGUGGUUCUGAAUGGAAGGGCCAUCGCUCAACGGAUAAAAGGUACUCCGGGGAUAACAGGCUGAUACCGCCCAAGAGUUCAUAUCGACGGCGGUGUUUGGCACCUCGAUGUCGGCUCAUCACAUCCUGGGGCUGAAGUAGGUCCCAAGGGUAUGGCUGUUCGCCAUUUAAAGUGGUACGCGAGCUGGGUUUAGAACGUCGUGAGACAGUUCGGUCCCUAUCUGCCGUGGGCGCUGGAGAACUGAGGGGGGCUGCUCCUAGUACGAGAGGACCGGAGUGGACGCAUCACUGGUGUUCGGGUUGUCAUGCCAAUGGCACUGCCCGGUAGCUAAAUGCGGAAGAGAUAAGUGCUGAAAGCAUCUAAGCACGAAACUUGCCCCGAGAUGAGUUCUCCCUGACUCCUUGAGAGUCCUGAAGGAACGUUGAAGACGACGACGUUGAUAGGCCGGGUGUGUAAGCGCAGCGAUGCGUUGAGCUAACCGGUACUAAUGAACCGUGAGGCUUAACCUUACAACGCCGAAGGUGUUU